AGAAGGCAGAUUGAAUAGAAGGUAGGUACAUAAAAGGAAACCUGUGUGCUUUGGGGUGUUUGUGUUGCACUCUCUGUAUCCAGGAGAUAAUGAGUUUAACCAAGAGCUGACUCAAUUAUCUCCCAGACACAGAGGUGCCUGGGCGGGCUUAUGCUACAAAUAAUGGAGACCCCAUGCUGACAGUCUGGGUAUAAAUCUAUGUGCUUUGCUCAAUAAAAAAAGAUCUACUUCAUACUUCACUA
Pelobates cultripes (western spadefoot toad) is the source of this 242-nucleotide non-coding RNA. The record is from the annotation of a GenBank genome assembly. Lineage: Eukaryota; Metazoa; Chordata; Amphibia; Anura; Pelobatidae.